Labeo rohita (rohu) is the source of this 893-nucleotide long non-coding RNA. RefSeq lists it as uncharacterized. The transcript is spliced from 4 exons. Lineage: Eukaryota; Metazoa; Chordata; Actinopteri; Cypriniformes; Cyprinidae. The record is from RefSeq and is a predicted model, not a curated record.
AUGCAGGUCUUUGUGAUGGCGUUAGUCUUUGUAAAUGGUAAAACUGAUUUGAUAGAAAAAGUAAUUCAGACUCUUUGUUUAGUGCUUUCUUCCUGUCAGGCUGUAAGCUGAGAGUGUAACAGAUGAACUUGGAGCUUGUUUUGCGAAAUGUUCAUGAUUUCUCAUGUCAAAAACAUCUUUUUCUUAAUCUUUUUUUAACACAAAACAUUUUUUUUUCAUUCCAGUGCACUGCUUUUUAAUUUGUUUUCUUUGUGCUAGAUGAAUGUCUUUUGCUGUUGCACCACGUCGAGCGUCUUGACACCAUGUCAAUGUGUCUUGAGACCAUAGGAGGCCUAGGCCUUGUCCAUACUAACACGUUUUGUUUAAAAACACAUCUUUUUCUCUCCUUUAUGACCUUCCGUCGACACUGAGACUGCAUUUUUGCACUUUUGGUUACUUUCCACUCCAGUGCUUUGCAUCUUGAGCUUUCUGUGAAUGUUCCCGUACACAGCCAAACGCCCUAAAAGGAAAAUAAUGCGACCUAACAAGCAGAAAGUGAACAUAUGUACAGCUGUUCAUCACUGGAGCGAUCCGGGAGCUUCGGUGUGCUCGAAAACAGAUGCCGAACUUACUUUGCUUGCACUUGACAGCAUAAAGCCCAUGUGGCGUUCCUCAGAGGACUGGAUCGUAUGGCCCUUCUGUGAUGUUGAGUUGUUGUUUGGAAAAAUGUUGCCUAGUGGACAUCAUAUCAGGCCUCCGUCCUCUUUUGUUAUAUGUUCCCAGUCCUGUUGGUUGAUCCAUGUUGAAGUUGAAGAUGCUACAUUGAAUUUCUACCAGUGAUAAGUUGUGUUCUCUGGCACAGACCCAUCUUCCCUGCAUACCCAGCCUUCCCGGGCCCAGAAGACUGUCAGGCA